UUCUGCGGCGUGGUCUGCCAAUCUCUGAGCGCUCCGUGUCCCCGAUCCCCUCCGCCCGAAUCGCCCACGUCCCCGAUCCCCGCGACACCUUGAUUUGUGGAUCAAUUCCACCCGAAUCGCCGGCUAAUUCCUCGACGGCUCGACCCACUUUCCCACUCGGGUUGCCCCCACAAAUCCCCUCCGCCCUAUCCUACUGCCUACACGCGAGCGCAGCACCGACAAUGGGGUGGCUACGCGCGUGCCGCCGCCAUCUCCGCCGCCUCACCAUCGAGCCCCACCCCCACUCCGGCGCAACUGCCGCACUUCCCUGCCCGCUUGUCUAAUUUUUUCAUCAGCGGUGGCGGUCGCUGCCACCGCGCUCCAUGACGCCGGCAACUCUGUCCUCGGGACCUCGGCCUGGAUCCGCGCCCCAUGACGCCCACGACUCUGGCCUGUAUCGGGGCGGCGGCAGAGACGGCCCUGCCCCCCACGCAUCCACUGAGGAGGAGGAAGAAGGCCUGGCGCCCUAUAUCCCCCGUCAAGGAAGACAUUGCUUGCCACCGAGAUGUUGUUGUAUGUACAUCAGAUAACCUCAUUUACUCACGUUUUUGUGGGGCACUGGAUUGAAGGACAACAGAUUUUGCUAACGCUAUGUGGUUGUCUUCCAAUAUGGUUCUGCCGUGCUCUUGAAUAUUGCUGAUCAUGAAGUUGAGCACUAUCUUGAUAUGAUCAGGAAUCAUGCUUCCGGAUGGCUUCUGGAUAUGAGGAAAGACGGUGUGAAAGGGCUCGCGCGAGGCAUGCAGCGCGUGCGUGUGAAUGUACAGAUGCGAUGCGGUGGAGGGCUCAACAAGAUUCGGUUUCAGUUAGCUCUUGAUCAAUAUCCUUCAGCACACCUGUAAAUUCUGUAGCAAAUGGUUGUAAGCAAUCUCAAUUCGACUAACAAUAUUGAUGGAUACUAAGUACUACUGCCAAUCAUCAUGUAAAAUGUCCCAACUCUAUAUUAGUUCUAGAAAAUAA
This is a long non-coding RNA of Aegilops tauschii subsp. strangulata, 996 nucleotides long. RefSeq lists it as uncharacterized. Lineage: Eukaryota; Viridiplantae; Streptophyta; Magnoliopsida; Poales; Poaceae. The record is from RefSeq and is a predicted model, not a curated record.